GCGAGGUGACUGUGGUUCCCGAUGAUGUACAAUGUUCUGUAUCAAGAACCAGAAGAGAGAAGCUGCUAGACUCCAAACACAAAGAAAAGAUGAAGAAAUGUAAAGGCUGAUUGGCUGUUAAGAAACACUUUAGAAGAAAACCUAAAAUGAACUGUUUCGGUUUCUUGAUGGUGCUCCCAGAGAAACGUCCCAGAGAGCUUUCCAGAUGAAAUUCAUUCAGUGAUCAGCCAGAUCACAGCUAGUGUCAUUUCUGCCACUGUUGGGAGUUUCUUUUUAGAUUCAUCUGAUCUGCUGAUUAAUGCAAAGAUUGGGUUGUUGCUGAAAAAUGGAAAAGAGUCAAGACCACCACUCACCACAGAUGCUGAAGAAGUCCACCUUUGUUCAUUGACCACCACCAUCC
Lepus europaeus (European hare) is the source of this 400-nucleotide long non-coding RNA. RefSeq lists it as uncharacterized. The transcript is spliced from 3 exons. The record is from RefSeq and is a predicted model, not a curated record. Lineage: Eukaryota; Metazoa; Chordata; Mammalia; Lagomorpha; Leporidae.